This is a long non-coding RNA of Oryza sativa Japonica Group (Japanese rice), 516 nucleotides long. RefSeq lists it as uncharacterized. NCBI's taxonomy places the organism in Eukaryota, Viridiplantae, Streptophyta, Magnoliopsida, Poales, Poaceae. The record is from RefSeq and is a predicted model, not a curated record.
GGAUCUGCCACUUCUUGCAAUCAGCAAACAUACAAAUGGUUAAGAUUGUUGGGGGCUCCACACCAUCAAGUACAAAAUCAGGUUAGCCAUGUGCAUGUUAUUGACUCGAAUGAUGCACUUUUUGCAUGCUAAUUUCGCCCAUGUCUUCCUUUCUUAUGCCCUCUUGCAAAUAUAUAAUUUUUUUUGAGAAAUUUAACGAUUUACUAUUAACAAACGCCCGAUUAUUUAUUCUUUUUUAAAAUGUGAUCAUUUUGCUCAUAAAAUGUGACCUAUUUUAAGCAAGCCAUGCUUUAGUUCCUUUUUAAAAAAUUGCAUUCAAAUAACAGUGCAUUAGCACAAAAAUGUGCCGUUGUCUGCUGGGCUAUUUUUCUCUCAAAGGUUUAGAAGUGACAAAUUAAAAAUCUUGGACUAUUGAAGUCAUAUACUUGGAGGAUGAUCCCCUGGUCAACGACGUAGUAAUAUGCCCGUGUAUCUUGUUCUUUAGAUACAGAUCUUAGCUAGGAUUUGGGAUGAAAG